This 72-nucleotide transfer RNA is filed under the name Nannocystis sp. Its description in RNAcentral is "tRNA-Val". It matches the Rfam family "tRNA". Rfam says of the family: Transfer RNA (tRNA) molecules are approximately 80 nucleotides in length. Their secondary structure includes four short double-helical elements and three loops (D, anti-codon, and T loops). Lineage: Bacteria; Pseudomonadati; Myxococcota; Nannocystales; Nannocystaceae. RNAcentral also lists the same sequence under 1 other name. The record is from RNAcentral.
AGGGCCGUAGCUCAGUGGUAGAGCACUACCUUGACACGGUAGGGGUCGACGGUUCGAAACCGUCCGGUCCUA